UGAGACGUCGUCUAACGGCAAGACAUAGGAUUUUGGUUCCUAGAAUGUAGGUUCGAUUCCUGCCGUCUCAA
Molecule: transfer RNA, 71 nt
Filed under: Bacteroidales bacterium
Lineage: Bacteria; Pseudomonadati; Bacteroidota; Bacteroidia; Bacteroidales
Description: tRNA-Gln
Rfam family: tRNA
About the family: Transfer RNA (tRNA) molecules are approximately 80 nucleotides in length. Their secondary structure includes four short double-helical elements and three loops (D, anti-codon, and T loops). Further hydrogen bonds mediate the characteristic L-shaped molecular structure. tRNAs have two regions of fundamental functional importance: the anti-codon, which is responsible for specific mRNA codon recognition, and the 3' end, to which the tRNAs corresponding amino acid is attached (by aminoacyl-tRNA synthetases). tRNAs cope with the degeneracy of the genetic code in two manners: having more than one tRNA (with a specific anti-codon) for a particular amino acid; and 'wobble' base-pairing, i.e. permitting non-standard base-pairing at the 3rd anti-codon position.
Source: RNAcentral